CAGUUUUAACAAAAUUAUGCAAGUAACUAUUGUUAAUGAACAAUCUCAACUCAAAGCUAGUCAAAAUGUUAUGUGAAACUCUAAGAAAAAUUAUAUUAACUCACAACACCGAUCAUUAAUAUAAUGGAAAACAAAAUUCGGAAGUAAAGACUCAAAGAGAACUGCAAGAAUGUCAUGCACGUACAUACCUUUUAGUAAUGGAAAUGUGUUAGAGGAUGAUGGUAGUUUAGGAGGUAGUUUAGAGGUUUUAGUGAUCAGAGAUUUUAGUAAAGGUAGUUUGAUAGUUAAGGUUUUUAGUUGUAGUAGUUUGGUAAAAGAAAGACUUAGUUCGUAGUUUAGAAAUGGUUGAAGGAUGUAGGAUACACAAAGCAAAAACUUCGUUGAUAGUAGAUACAAUACAAGGAUAAGAAUUUAAAAAAAAAAAAAAAGGUUUUUAAGCUUAGCAUAGUUUUUGGCUUACGUUACAAGUGAUGCAUGGUUGCAUGACUAUUUAUAGCCCUCUUAACCAACCUAAAUGGAACAACUUAGACAAACUUUUCACCCAUAGAACUUGCAAGAAUCUUAGGCAAUUCACUAGAAAAUUUUAGAGUUCUUUGAAUUGUGGAUGGGAAUUCUUUCUUUCAUAUAACGUUCCUAGUGUUUGUAUGAUUUCUCUAUAACUUUCCUAACUUAACUUAGCACUAACUUGUAGUAUUUUCUAGAAUUGACCUCUAGAAUCUUCUUUAAAUGCAUAAAUAAUUUAACACUCAUCUUUAAUGUACUUAACUGAUACUAUAAGUUAAUCUCGUAGUGCCUCAAACUUAAUUCACAAAGAGCUUUCGUGAAGAUAUCUGUUAAUUGUUCUCAAAGAAAUCGUUGACUUAUUAUUACAUAAUAUUGUUGUAGAUCCAUUAAUUUCUCGAUAUUAUGUUUAGAUUUAUAAGACCUUACAUUAAGCUUAGAUUGCAAAGCAUUCUUAAUAGAGUCUUGUUCGUAGUACUGAGUCUUUUCUUAUGUACUUUUAAAGAACUUAUUAGUUCAGCUAGUGACAAGAUUGUUAAAUCUUUUGAUUAUUCUAUAGUAGUGACUAUAGAGUCAUUUUCUUGUAAGAUUGAUUGGAAAUUUUUCAACAACCCUUUGAUCAGUAACAUUUUCUCCUACAGAUCUCGUUUGAUUUACCACUACUUUAACUCUUCCAUGAUAAUCUUUAACAGUCUCAGAAUAUUUCAUUUUAAUAUUUUCCAAUUCUCUUCGUAGUAUUUGAAGUCUAAUGGUGCGUACCUUAGAAUCGCCGAGAAACUCCUUCUGCAACGUAUCCCACGCUUGCUUUGCUGUUGAAGCUUCACUAAUCCUAGGAAAAAUUGUAAUCGCUAGUGACUGUUGAAUCAAAUAUAGGGCACUAGCAUCCUUCUGUUUUCUCACCUCUAACUCCUUUUGUUGUGCUUCUUCUAGAAUAGAGAUAUUUGUUGGCUUGUUAAGUCCCUUCUCAACAAUGUCCGUAAGAUUUUGAGACUUAAAGAGUGUCAUCAUUUUUUUUCCCCACAAAUCAUAGCCGCUACCAUCAAAAAUGGGAAGUGGCAUAGAGAUAGAUUGUGAUGAAUUUGUGGUGGCCAUAUAGACUCUAAUGACCACUUACGAUCAAUUGAGCUCUGAUAGCACUGUUAGAGGAUGAUGGUAAUUAAGGAGGUUUUAGUGAUUAGGGGUUGAAAUGAAAGUAGUUUGAUAGUUAAGGUUUUUAGUUGUAAUUUGGAAAUGGUUGAAGGAUGUGGGAUAUACAAAGCAAAAUCUUUGUUGAUAGGAAAUAUAAUACAAGAAGGAGAGUUUU
This 1804-nucleotide long non-coding RNA is filed under the name Populus trichocarpa (black cottonwood). RNAcentral describes it as "long non-coding RNA (PTRI_LNC002646)". Lineage: Eukaryota; Viridiplantae; Streptophyta; Magnoliopsida; Malpighiales; Salicaceae. The record is from RNAcentral.